AGAAAGUAUAUUUGCGGAUAUGCACGAGCCAUUAGUGAGAUACCACUCUUUGUAAAUUAGAAUUCUAAUUUUGAACGCCAUUAGCUGGCCAAAAAACAGUUCCAGGUAGGCAGUUUGACUGGGGCGGUCGCCUCCUAAAAAGUAACGGAGGCGCGCAAAGGUUCCCUCAGGCUGGUCGGAAAUCAGUCGUAGAGUGUAAAGGCAUAAGGGAGCUUGACUGCAAGACUUACAAGUCGAGCAGAGACGAAAGUCGGCCUUAGUGAUCCGACAGUACCGAGUGGAAGGGCUGUCGCUCAACGGAUAAAAGUUA
This 310-nucleotide ribosomal RNA is filed under the name Lithophyllum dentatum. Its description in RNAcentral is "bacterial LSU rRNA". It matches the Rfam family "Bacterial large subunit ribosomal RNA", at positions 2158 to 2465 of the family's 2925-position model. Lineage: Eukaryota; Rhodophyta; Florideophyceae; Corallinales; Lithophyllaceae. The record is from RNAcentral.